RNAcentral lists this long non-coding RNA (532 nucleotides) under Polistes fuscatus (common paper wasp). RNAcentral describes it as "uncharacterized LOC122518727". The record is from RNAcentral. Lineage: Eukaryota; Metazoa; Arthropoda; Insecta; Hymenoptera; Vespidae.
CUCCAUUUAGCUCGUUCUAUUCUCCUUCAUUUUGUUUCAAACUCGCGACCAUGUAACAUGGUUGCUCAGAAACUUUGGCCGACAGCAGCGUGGUGUAUCUAUUGCAAUCGUAUAUAAGCUGAACGUUUACUUCGCACCUUUAUAAUGGCGAUAAUAAAGCUUCUUCAGCUUGAGUGGCUAGCACCAAUACUGGAAAAUGUUUACUGCAAAAUUUGUUCUUUACCACGUUAAAAUUGUAGCGAAUAUCUCCGAUAAUUAAUUUCUACAUGAAUAUGCUUGCAAAUGAUGGAACUUUUACAGACUGCGACAGCAGAAAAACCAUUAGUAAAUGACUAGAAAAUUGGUUGACUGAUUGAAUACAUUAGAUUGAAUUGAUACUACAAUGUUUUUGAGUUAAAAUAAGAAAGAUUGAUGAUUCACAAUCUACAAUAAUCUAUGGAAGUUAUGGAAGUAUCGAAUCGAAUGGAAGCAUGGAAGAAAGAAAAAGAAUCAAAGAGAAGAGAACAUUAAGUCCAUCGUGAACUAACUUAAG